GGCCUGUGAGGGUUGCUGGAGGUAUCAGAAGUGCGAAUGCUGACAUAAGUAACGAUAAAGCGGGUGAAAAGCCCGCUCGCCGGAAGACCAAGGGUUCCUGUCCAACGUUAAUCGGGGCAGGGUGAGUCGACCCCUAAGGCGAGGCCGAAAGGCGUAGUCGAUGGGAAACGGGUUAAUAUUCCCGUACUUGGUGUUACUGCGAAGGGGGGACGGAGAAGGCUAUGUUGGCCGGGCGACGGUUGUCCCGGUUUAAGCGUGUAGGUGUGUGUUCCAGGUAAAUCCGGUUCACUUUAACACUGAGGCGUGACGACGAGGCACUACGGUGCUGAAGCAACAAAUGCCCUGCUUCCAGGAAAAGCCUCUAAGCAUCAGGUAACAUCAAAUCGUACCCCAAACCGACACAGGUGGUCAGGUAGAGAAUACCAAGGCGCUUGAGAGAACUCGGGUGAAGGAACUAGGCAAAAUGGUGCCGUAACUUCGGGAGAAGGCACGCUGACACGUAGGUGAAGUGAUUUACUCAUGGAGCUGAAGUCAGUCGAAGAUACCAGCUGGCUGCAACUGUUUAUUAAAAACACAGCACUGUGCAAACACGAAAGUGGACGUAUACGGUGUGACGCCUGCCCGGUGCCGGAAGGUUAAUUGAUGGGGUCAGCGCAAGCGAAGCUCCUGAUCGAAGCCCCGGUAAACGGCGGCCGUAACUAUAACGGUCCUAAGGUAGCGAAAUUCCUUGUCGGGUAAGUUCCGACCUGCACGAAUGGCGUAAUGAUGGCCAGGCUGUCUCCACCCGAGACUCAGUGAAAUUGAACUCGCUGUGAAGAUGCAGUGUACCCGCGGCAAGACGGAAAGACCCCGUGAACCUUUACUAUAGCUUGACACUGAACAUUGAGCCUUGAUGUGUAGGAUAGGUGGGAGGCUUUGAAGUGUGGACGCCAGUCUGCAUGGAGCCGACCUUGAAAUACCACCCUUUAAUGUUUGAUGUUCUAACGUGGACCCGUAAUCCGGGUUGCGGACAGUGUCUGGUGGGUAGUUUGACUGGGGCGGUCUCCUCCUAAAGAGUAACGGAGGAGCACGAAGGUUGGCUAAUCCUGGUCGGACAUCAGGAGGUUAGUGCAAUGGCAUAAGCCAGCUUGACUGCGAGCGUGACGGCGCGAGCAGGUGCGAAAGCAGGUCAUAGUGAUCCGGUGGUUCUGAAUGGAAGGGCCAUCGCUCAACGGAUAAAAGGUACUCCGGGGAUAACAGGCUGAUACCGCCCAAGAGUUCAUAUCGACGGCGGUGUUUGGCACCUCGAUGUCGGCUCAUCACAUCCUGGGGCUGAAGUAGGUCCCAAGGGUAUGGCUGUUCGCCAUUUAAAGUGGUACGCGAGCUGGGUUUAGAACGUCGUGAGACAGUUCGGUCCCUAUCUGCCGUGGGCGCUGGAGAACUGAGGGGGGCUGCUCCUAGUACGAGAGGACCGGAGUGGACGCAUCACUGGUGUUCGGGUUGUCAUGCCAAUGGCACUGCCCGGUAGCUAAAUGCGGAAGAGAUAAGUGCUGAAAGCAUCUAAGCACGAAACUUGCCCCGAGA
RNAcentral lists this ribosomal RNA (1563 nucleotides) under Salmonella enterica subsp. enterica serovar Virchow. RNAcentral's name for it is "partial 23S ribosomal RNA". It matches the Rfam family "Bacterial large subunit ribosomal RNA", at positions 1258 to 2804 of the family's 2925-position model. The record is from RNAcentral. Lineage: Bacteria; Pseudomonadati; Pseudomonadota; Gammaproteobacteria; Enterobacterales; Enterobacteriaceae.